GAUGAACGCUAGCGGCAGGCUUAAUACAUGCAAGUCGAGGGGCAGCAGGACUGUAGCAAUACAGUUGCUGGCGACCGGCAAACGGGUGCGGAACACGUACGCAACCUACCCAAAACUGGGGGAUAGCCCGGGGAAACCCGGAUUAAUACCUCGUAACCUUUUUAAGUGGCAUCACUUGAUAAGUAUAGCUCCGGCGGUUUUGGAUGGGCGUGCGCCUGAUUAGGUAGUUGGUGCGGGUAACGGCCCACCAAGCCUGCGAUCAGUAACUGGUGUGAGAGCACGACCAGUCACACGGGCACUGAGACACGGGCCCGACUCCUACGGGAGGCAGCAGUAAGGAAUAUUGGUCAAAGGACGCAAGUCUGAACCAGCCAUGCCGCGUGAAGGAUGAAGGUCCUCUGGAUUGUAAACUUCUUUUAUGGGGGACGAAACCCGGAUAUUCUUAUCCGAUUGACGGUACCUCAGGAAUAAGCACCGGCUAACUCCGUG
Molecule: ribosomal RNA, 489 nt
Filed under: uncultured bacterium
Lineage: Bacteria
Description: partial 16S ribosomal RNA
Rfam family: Bacterial small subunit ribosomal RNA
Source: RNAcentral